This is a non-coding RNA of Ilex paraguariensis (yerba mate), 114 nucleotides long. NCBI's taxonomy places the organism in Eukaryota, Viridiplantae, Streptophyta, Magnoliopsida, Aquifoliales, Aquifoliaceae. The record is from the annotation of a GenBank genome assembly.
GCGAUCAUACCAGCAUUAUUGCACCAGAUCCCAUCAGAACUCCGUAAUUAAAAGUGCUUGGGUGAGAGCAGUACUAGGAUGGAUGACCCCAGGGAAGUCCUUGUGCUGCACCCC